Molecule: ribosomal RNA, 273 nt
Filed under: uncultured bacterium
Lineage: Bacteria
Description: partial 16S ribosomal RNA
Rfam family: Bacterial small subunit ribosomal RNA
Source: RNAcentral
GUCCUUGCCGUAAACGAUGUGGAUUAGGUGUCGGGAGUGUCGAUCCUCUCGGCGCCGCCGUUAACACAUUAAAUCCACCACCUGGGGAGUACGGUCGCAAGACUGAAACUCAAAGAAAUUGACGGGGACCCCGCACAAGCGGUGGAGCAUGUGGUUUAAUUCGAGGCUACGCGAAGAACCUUACCUGGGCUUGACAUGUUUGCAGUAGGCUGGAUGAAAGUUCGGCCGACCGUAUCCAAUCGGAGGCAUACACAGGUGCUGCAUGGCUGUCGU